CCCUUAGAUGUUCUGGGCAGCACGCGCGCUACAAUGGUCUUCGCAAACGGAUGCAUUCUCGAAGGAGAAUGCCAAUCUUGGAAUCUAUGCCUUGGUCGGGACAGUUGCUUGCAAUUUUUCGACUCGAACCAGGAAUUCCUUGUAAUCGUGAUUCAUCACAUCACGAUGAAUACGUCCCUGCCCUUUCUACACACCGCCCGUCGCUCCUACCGAUCGAAGAGUUAGGUGAAUUGUUUUGAUCGAUAAGAUUUGACUAUGGUCAACUCUCGUUGUGAAAUUCUGUGAAUCUGACUGUUUAGAGGAAGGAAAAGUCGUAACA
Molecule: ribosomal RNA, 319 nt
Filed under: uncultured eukaryote
Lineage: Eukaryota
Description: partial 18S ribosomal RNA
Rfam family: Eukaryotic small subunit ribosomal RNA
Source: RNAcentral